GCGUAUAUAACUACUGAUUUGCAUGGGUAUAAAACAAGAGAAGAACGGUUUACUACAAAAGUCUGAAAAGCAGAAUUGGAAUCGACCUUUUACACGUGUUUUAUUGUUCGAUUACUUGAACGUGAAACGACAAAGUCGGGACAAUUUGUUUGUUUACAUGUGAAAUCAAUUUUCUUUUAGUGAAUCCCGAUUUUCCGUAACAAGUGAUAAAAAGAACUUUCUUCACCUUAAGUUGCAAAAGGCGUCCUGGUUCUGAGGAAUGCGCACAGACUUUAAUGCUGAAUGUGAAACGAAGAAAUGCAGUUGCAAAUAUUGAAUGUUCUCCGAAGUUAGAAAUUAUAUUCGAACAAGGCGGGGUUUGAAAAUCGAAAGCCUCAGAAUGACUCCCCCCCAUACUGCUAGUCUGCGAGUUCUGAGCCGUCUUCGCUUGCCUGGGUUUCGCUGAUCGCGUUGCACGUUGUAAGAUUUUUAUGUGACCGUGAAGAAUGAAGUUUGGUCAUGGCUGCUGCAGUGUGGUGUAGCGGCGUCCUGUUCAUGGAAUCAUACUCCAUUCUCGGUCACGUGGUAGGCAAAGGAGACAUCAAGUGCAGUUGAGACAACGCCGAAAAUCAUUCUAUUAAUGUCUUUAGGAUUAAAGAUGGAGACUGUUUCUCCAAAACGUUAUUGUCAUCCAACAAAAGUCCACGUGUUUUGAAGGCUAGGUUAGGUUCAUCGUCCUGUGAAAUCGAGAUUGUGUGAAGGUUGGUUGGGAAGGAAGUGUCGAAGCGGAGGGUGACAGUCGGGAGCAUGCGCAGUGGGUAAGAACCACACGUGCGCUCUCAUUCUGCGGAAGAUCCACAAAUAACGAGCAGUGCGAGUUACGGGCUGCUAGCGGGCAGGUAAAGGAAUCAUCCUUAAAUUUGUAUCGUCUGUCGACAGAUGGCUGGACGGGCGGGCUGGCUGUUCAUUCGAAAGUCACCCCGACCCGUCCAUGUUUCCCUUCCCCUCCUUUCUUCCCCUAUCAGUUUACAGUCAUCCAACUACCCUACGGUUAUUUGUGUAGGACGUGCUUCAAAGACGUGAAAUGCCGCACGUGUGGUGGAAGAUUUUCUGGACAGUGGUUCUGAACUAUAAUUUUCUGUGUAUACACACGAUGAGCGUCCACAUACAAUGUUUAUCUCGAGUUGCACACAUACUGAAAGUUACGUGGCAGCAGUACGACCGUGGCCGUGUUAAGCGAGUGGACCGUGUACUUCCCGAUAUAAGGACGCCGGACUUUGGCAGGAAUUAACUCGACCAUGGCUUUCACCUUUCUCAGACUUUGUCAGGCGAUUCUACAUUGGUGUCGCAGUACUUCUGAGUCCCUACACGGUGAUGAAGACGAGAUGCCGUUUGAAAUGGCUGGAACUGGUCGCCACGUCUCCGACGGUGGGUCCAUGGACGAAAUGCGUGAUCGUGGUAAACUUGGACGAGGUGCCAUUGACAGAGUUCGCAUUGAUGUGCCUCUAAGGGGUGGGAGAAGUGGAGACCAAGCUACAUUGAAGGAAGCGGAUCGUGGGAAUCCAUCCAGGGACAUUCCAAGUGAUCCUAUCUUCAAAGAUGUGUGUCUACCGUUGGAUUUAGCUUCAGAAAAGCCUGAAGUGGGGGAUUUGCAAGAGAACCUACGAUCACUCGAUUCCAGUGCCCAAAUUCCAUACCGUACACCCAGCACAGAUUUGACUGAAUUGGAACAGAGCCUUGAUUACUGGCAUCGACAACAUUCUCGCCAGCGUUAUGGCUGUCCGAAACACGUAGAAGAUGAAUCUCAUAGCAAAGUUCGCUACAACGACACAGGAAGCCUAGAGGAGGUUAACCGUGAAGAACAAGUUGAUUACAUAGUGCAGAGUGGUAAAGAGUCGAGAUACUUCUCUUAUGGACAAAGUGCACAGUAUGAAUAUCGAAAACUGUGGAGUCUGCGUGCCACGCUGGCAGAGAGUGAACAUUUGUCUGAGCAAAGAGUCAACAACAAAGAAACAGUUACCUUGACUCCAGGAAGAGUCAAACACAGUCAGUCGUCUGUUGAGAUAUAUCCCGGGAGAGCAGUGGAGGCACGUGCUGGUCGCAGUUUGGACAGCGCGACUGUCGGUUAUACCAACGAGGAAAUAUCACAUCAAACCCGUCGUCAAAUGUAUAUCAAUGCAGCAAAUUCGAGAAUGAAGUGCACAGUACGCAGUGUUUGUCAGUGCGAGAGCCUGUCGCUUAAUAGCAGUCGUGAGUCAAUUGACACAAUAGAUAAUGAACAUUAUUCUACAGACACCAGUUUCGUUGAUCAGCCCACAAAUUAUGGUAUUGAUGGCAGCAGUGUUGACAGACAAGAACGCAGACUCGAGCAGCUCCGUGCGGACAGCGGGUAUCGAAGCAUGGAGAAUCCGCCAGCAACCAACUUGGGCACUCACCAGCAAUCAUUUGAUACAACAGGGAGGCCACCACACCAUAUUCCCAUUGAUUAUCAUAUUGAGAUGCCAGUGUGUUACAACACGUCACGUGAUUCACAGGGAAGUGCUGCGGAUUUGAGCACAAAACGCAGAGAUAGUUUUAAAAGUGUGAAUAGAUCAAUGUCCGCAGGUUACAACACCGCUAUGGUGCAGUAUUGUCAUGAGGUUGAUGAGGGUGUGGCUGAACUUCAGUCACCUCUCGGACCUAAUAUAAGUUUUGGCUCGUGGGAGAGAUGUCAAAGAAAGAACUAUCAUUCAGCUUCGAGAAGACGGCGUGAAUUUGGCUUUGGCGGCGGUCGUCACGCUCUGGCACACGUGGCAGAAUCCAAAUAUUCCCGCUCCCAAAUUUUUCAGACUGUUGGUGCCGGUUACACCCGUGAUUACAGUGUCGAUCAGAAGUCUGACGCGUUAUUUCGCGAGUUCAGUCGUUGCGAUCCUGUGAAAACAAGAGCCAGUGGUGUACACCGACAACAGUUUAUACACUCGCUCCCAUAUCCUGUUCGGGACCACAUAAAAGAACUGUCACAGCCUCAAGACAGUGAUGAGGGUCUAUUGGCACUCGAUAUGACUAAGAAAGAAAGUGAUGAUCUAUUAACGACAUUAGACAGCGAUCAUUGUGAGGACAAUUAUGAUAGUAGCGAUAGUGAUGAAGAUGAUGACAGCGACUGACUUGUAGAUUAUAUAAUUAUGUUUGAGGGUACAGUUAUUUCUACCCUCCAUAUCAGAUACCAAAUAUUUUUUAUUCUAGUUAACUGAUGGAUGAAGGAAGAUAAGGGUGGAAUGACUCCAUUGUAGCAAAUUAAUUUCUACAAUAAUAAAUCCUCAUACAUCUCCGCUCAUCCAUUACUGUUAAGCGCAAAGUGAAGGAGGAUCUUUGAGGUAAUAUACAAUACAUAUUAGAAAUAGAGGGCUCUGCUGUUGUGUUAAUAUGGUUUACUGAUCUGCUCAAAAGACUAAGAAUAGCAGAAAUACAGGAUUAUGAAAGAGUCUCUGGUUACGAGCCGCGUCAGGUGGCUGAACGGUGAAUAAACCAUAUAUUCUGUCAACGUUUCGAGAACAAUGUCUGCUCUCAUCCUCAGGGCUGCUGCGUAGCAAAUCUGAUAUGGUUUAUUCGGCAUUCGGCCACCUGACGCGGCUUGUAACCCGAGUCUGUCAUCAACUUCAGUCGCCACGAAAGCUUAACUUUAUACAACAAAUACAGAAUGUUUCACACCUGGUUUGUGACACUUCAGAAGGUUAUUUAAUAGGUAAAUUCAUGAAAAAAAUGUUAUUACAAUAUUGUUUCUAUUUCCAAUAAUUGCAUAGCUCUGGUGAUCUCAAAGUAUUUGCGAGUAUUAAUCAAAUCAGUUUAUUGCUACGUAUUAUGAUGUACAUUCAAAAUGUUCCCCACAGUUUUCAGUGCAUAACAUUGCUCAUUCCAGACAACAGUUUACCGCGAUCUGAAUUUCAGGGUGUUCUCGUAUGUAAGCAGCAACAUUCAUAAUCUGAUGUACUUCUUCUCUCGCGUGUACUUUGAUCCUACAGGUCAUCUCUUCGUCAGACCUCAUAAAAAGAAAUUGAGCAGUGUUAUGCUGAGAGAUUUUGUGGUCAAGAUAUUGAAACAUGAUAACCUAUCCAAUGACUUUGUAAUGUUGAUUAAGUAAACCAUAACUUGAUGAUCAAAAUGUGCUGAAGGAAGAUUUUGCCACCUUGCCUUCAGGCACAUUAUCCAUUAGAUACUUUGACGACCCAUUCUUCAGUGUGGGUCCCAACUUUUAGUUGGCUUGAUCUAUAGACAUUUUGGUAUGACUCCUUGGACGAGGGAUCAGCCCAUUGUGAGGCCUCUACCCGUACACAGGACAACACAACACAGAAAAACAUCCAUGGCAUGAGUGGGAUUCAAACCCAUGGUCCCAGCGACCAAGCGGCACAAGGGCAAUGCCUCAGACUGCGCGGCCACUGUGACCCCUAUUCUCCAUUAGAAACCAAAUUUUAUUUGUCAGGAAGUUUUGAUAAUUAGCAGAUUAUUCGAAAUAUUCACUGAAAGUCAUACUAAAAUGCUCGUCAGUAGUAGUAUGAGGAUUAUGGGCGAUUCUCACCAUUGAUCAUAACCAAAAUAAUAGUAACAAAGCAACUGACAAUUUGCAGUGAUAACAUCUUAAGCUGAAACCAUCAUCAGUGCUGCCAUCUAUCAAAGCACAUUUGUUGUUUGCAUAUCUUAAAACAUCCAUAGCUCUGCAAUAGUUGGAAAAAGAACCAUUACUGUAAGACAACCUGUAUUUUAGUUAUGAUUUGAAGCUUUUGCGGUGACGUAACUCAAUAAAAUAUUCUCGGGCGAUCAGAUGCGUCAGCCGGUUAAAAGAUGAAACUGAAGUUUCAGGGACCUGUCAUCAGAACCCUGAUGAUCGGGACAGACAGUCCCUGAAACGUCGGUUUCUUCCUUUAACCAGUUGACGCGGCUGAUCGCCCAAGAAUGAAGAAUGAAGAAUGUUUCAGGGAAUUGAAUUAUACUAUCUUUCUGUUCAAGGUCAUAUGGUAACUCAUAUUCAUCAGGAUGCCAAAUUCCAGAAUGUGUCGAAACAUGCUCAAACACUAAUAACAAGAAAAUAAAAAAAUGGGACGUAUACUGAAUUAUUUAAGUAAUGUGUACUUAAGACAAAAGUGUGUGGAUGAAGACAGAUGGCAGUCACGCGUUCCUUGGUGUUCUUCGUACACACAAGUACAUGAUCAGUUCUACUGCGCUGAUAAGGCUUGCACCGAGGAAGAGGCCCACUGCACCUCCAAUAGAGACUGAAAUUUGGAGUAUUUAUUUGUCAGUUCAUUUUGAGAAGGCAAAGGCGAAAUUAAACUCCCAGAAUAAAACUGAUUUUUUUUUCCAAAUGCAGGAAAGUAAUGUAAAUAAUAAUAAUUAUGAAAUAAUAAACAAAAGCCAAAUAUAUCA
Zootermopsis nevadensis is the source of this 5373-nucleotide RNA transcript. RefSeq lists it as uncharacterized. The record is from RefSeq and is a predicted model, not a curated record. NCBI's taxonomy places the organism in Eukaryota, Metazoa, Arthropoda, Insecta, Blattodea, Termopsidae.